CAGAGGUGAGCAACCUAUUUCUGAAUUUCUAUUUACAGAAUUCAUGUAUUCAGAGGAAAACCACUGAAGAGACCAGAACACUGAACUGAUGUCCUGUCACUGUCCUGUCUUGCUUGCUUUGGAUUUCAAACUAAUCACAGCUGAGUCAAGGUAUACAGAACUCAUUCCUUCAUGAAGAAUGAAAGAGACAUGCUGAUGUUACUGUGAACUUCCAUAGUCAAAACUGAUCCCAUUGCAAGAUCUGAAUAGGACAUUGCCACACAGAUAAAUGAUCUUAGCAACAGUGAAGAAAAAGCUCUUGAAAAGGCUCCACCUGGAUCCUGUACUCUGCCAGCCUUGUAUCUAAUGCAGAUACCUCACAUGAAGAAAUUUAAGAAAAUAGCUCCUGAAUUCAAUGUUCACAGUCAGACCUUGCCCACAACAGAAGCACUGAAGGGUCAAGGGUGCUGCCUUGCCUGCAUAGCUGUAAAGUUUGACAAGAUACUCAAGCCUGGAAAAAAAAGGAAGACAGGAAAGUACUUCCUGACACCAGCUGUUUCAGAGAAGGGGGCUCACAAUGAGGUUUUGUUACGGGGUAAACCAUCAAAAAGAGGAACUUGGCUCAGGAGUAGGGUUUUUCCCUUUGUUUAUUGACCACAGAAUAGUGUGGCCAAUAUAUGAGAUCUCUGACUUCUUGAAGCUGUCCUUGAAGAUUCAGCAAGCCUUCUUUGUGGAGAUCCCUCCUAGAGAAUCCAGGAGUAUAAAAUAAAAGACAGAUUAAGG
Molecule: long non-coding RNA, 762 nt
Organism: Cairina moschata (Muscovy duck)
Lineage: Eukaryota; Metazoa; Chordata; Aves; Anseriformes; Anatidae
Source: Ensembl